CAGGUCUUGACAUCCUUUGACCACUCUAGAGAUAGAGCUUUCCCUUCGGGGACAAAGUGACAGGUGGUGCAUGGUUGUCGUCAGCUCGUGUCGUGAGAUGUUGGGUUAAGUCCCGCAACGAGCGCAACCCUUAUUACUAGUUGCCAGCAUUUAGUUGGGCACUCUAGUGAGACUGCCGGUGACAAACCGGAGGAAGGUGGGGAUGACGUCAAAUCAUCAUGCCCCUUAUGACCUGGGCUACACACGUGCUACAAUGGAUGGUACAACGAGUCGCAAGGUCGCGAGGCCAAGCUAAUCUCUUAAAGCCAUUCUCAGUUCGGAUUGUAGGCUGCAACUCGCCUACAUGAAGCCGGAAUCGCUAGUAAUCGCGGAUCAGAACGCCGCGGUGAAUACGUUCCCGGGUCUUGUACACACCG
Molecule: ribosomal RNA, 416 nt
Filed under: bacterium enrichment culture
Lineage: Bacteria
Description: bacterial SSU rRNA
Rfam family: Bacterial small subunit ribosomal RNA
Source: RNAcentral